CACGGGGGGAGCAAGCGUUGUUCGGAAUUACUGGGCGUAAAGGGCUCGUAGGCGGCCAACUAAGUCGGAUGUGAAAUCCCCAGGCUUAACCUGGGAACUGCAUCCGAUACUGGAUGGCUUGAAUUCGGGAGAGGGAUGCAGAAUUCCAGGUGUAGCGGUGAAAUGCGUAGAUAUCUGGAGGAAUACCGGUGGCGAAGGCGGCAUCCUGGACCGAGAUUGACGCUGAUGAGCGAAAGCGUGGGGAGCGAACAGG
Molecule: ribosomal RNA, 253 nt
Filed under: uncultured bacterium
Lineage: Bacteria
Description: partial 16S ribosomal RNA
Rfam family: Bacterial small subunit ribosomal RNA
Source: RNAcentral